GCCCAUAUUCAAUGCUCAGGCCAUUUCGCAUAAAGCAUCGGUCUUGUAAUCCGAUAGAUCCGAAAGGGGUUAAACCUCUUCCCACGCCU
This 89-nucleotide transfer RNA is filed under the name Gymnodiptychus integrigymnatus. RNAcentral's name for it is "tRNA-Thr". The record is from RNAcentral. Lineage: Eukaryota; Metazoa; Chordata; Actinopteri; Cypriniformes; Cyprinidae.